GAUGAACGCUAGCGGGAGGCCUAACACAUGCAAGCCGAGCGGUAUUGUUUCUUCGGAAAUGAGAGAGCGGCGUACGGGUGCGUAACACGUGUGCAACCUGCCUUUAUCUGGGGGAUAGCCUUUCGAAAGGAAGAUUAGUACUCCAUAAUAUAUUGAACGGCAUCGUUUAAUAUUGAAAGCUCCGGCGGAUAGAGAUGGGCACGCGCAAGAUUAGCUAGUUGGUGAGGUAACGGCUCACCAAGGCGAUGAUCUUUAGGGGGCCUGAGAGGGUGAUCCCCCACACUGGUACUGAGACACGGACCAGACUCCUACGGGAGGCAGCAGUGAGGAAUAUUGGUCAAUGGGUGCAAGCUUGAACCAGCCAUCCCGCGUGAAAGACGACUGCCCUAUGGGUUGUAAACUUCUUUUGUAUAGGGAUAAACCUACCCUCGUGAGGGUAGCUGAAGGUACUAUACGAAUAAGCACCGGCUAACUCCGUGCCAGCAGCCGCCGUAA
This 495-nucleotide ribosomal RNA is filed under the name uncultured bacterium. RNAcentral's name for it is "partial 16S ribosomal RNA". It matches the Rfam family "Bacterial small subunit ribosomal RNA", at positions 28 to 523 of the family's 1533-position model. The record is from RNAcentral.